UGUUUAUAAAAAUUAUAAAUUACUAAGACUUUCAAAAACAUUGCAUAAUGAAAAUUUGUUAUUAGCGAUUUAAAUUUUUGUUAUAAAAGAUACAAAUAAGUAGAACACAUCAUUUAACAAUAUAUCAAUAUUAAAAAUAUAAUCUUUAUCUAUGUAUAAAUUAGGUAAAUUUAAUUAUAUAAAAUAGAAAAACUGAUUGUUUCGAUUAAUAAAAUUUAUUUACGUAUUUACACCAAUUUAAUUAUAUAUGUAAUAGUUAUUGACUUUUUCAUUAUCCAAUAUUUUUAAAAUAUAUAAAAGAACAUACUAUACGUAAAAUAAUAUAUAUAUACAUGUUCACGCGUAAGGCGCGGAUCUUAAUCUAGUUACCU
Molecule: long non-coding RNA, 371 nt
Filed under: Brassica napus (rape)
Lineage: Eukaryota; Viridiplantae; Streptophyta; Magnoliopsida; Brassicales; Brassicaceae
Description: long non-coding RNA (BNAP_LNC009736)
Source: RNAcentral